This is a long non-coding RNA of Carlito syrichta (Philippine tarsier), 440 nucleotides long. RefSeq lists it as uncharacterized. NCBI's taxonomy places the organism in Eukaryota, Metazoa, Chordata, Mammalia, Primates, Tarsiidae. The record is from RefSeq and is a predicted model, not a curated record. The transcript is spliced from 2 exons.
ACUUCUUUUUUUGUUUCCCUGGAUGGAAAAAGUCCUCAAAGGGAAACGUUUGGCCAAUGUGGAAGAGGUAAAGCAAAAAACCACAGAAGCAUGAACAGCCAUCAGAAUCGAUGAGAUCAGAAACUUUUGAGCAGUGGGAAAAGUGUCUCGAGGGUGUUUUGCAUCAAAUGGAGAGUCCUUUGAAGGUGACUGAAGUUUAAACGUGUCAUCAGAGACUCAUUUGGGCACCAGAAGUGGAAAUGUGUCGCCUGUGUCCUGCUUGUCUAAACCCGCUUCUUUCUUGCCAGUGGGAUGCAGCUGGCUGUGUGUUACAAUGCUCUCGGCCCCUAGGAAAGAACAUUAUUGAAACAAAAUUCCUGCACCUAUUUUUGGGCCACGUUGGCUUAUUUCUAGAACGUUUGUAACUGUGAUUAAAAUAAAUUGCACAUUUCACUCAUUUC